RNAcentral lists this ribosomal RNA (492 nucleotides) under uncultured bacterium. RNAcentral describes it as "partial 16S ribosomal RNA". It matches the Rfam family "Bacterial small subunit ribosomal RNA", at positions 29 to 507 of the family's 1533-position model. The record is from RNAcentral.
AGUGAACGCUGGCGGUAGGCCUAACACAUGCAAGUCGAACGGCAGCACAGUAAGAGCUUGCUCUUACGGGUGGCGAGUGGCGGACGGGCGAGGAAUACAUCGGAAUCUACUUUUUCGUGGGGGAUAACGUAGGGAAACUUACGCUAAUACCGCAUACGACCUACGGGUGAAAGCAGGGGAUCUUCGGACCUUGCGCGAUUGAAUGAGCCGAUGUCGGAUUAGCUAGUUGGCGGGGUAAAGGCCCACCAAGGCGACGAUCCGUAGCUGGUCUGAGAGGAUGAUCAGCCACACUGGAACUGAGACACGGUCCAGACUCCUACGGGAGGCAGCAGUGGGGAAUAUUGGACAAUGGGCGCAAGCCUGAUCCAGCCAUACCGCGUGAGUGAAGAAGGCCUUCGGGUUGUAAAGCCCUUUUGUUGGGAAAGAAAAGCAGCAGAUUAAUACCCCGCUGUUCUGACGGUACCCAAAGAAUAAGCACCGGCUAACUUCGUG